UAAUUGAUUACAUGUUU
Molecule: microRNA, 17 nt
Filed under: Corchorus olitorius
Lineage: Eukaryota; Viridiplantae; Streptophyta; Magnoliopsida; Malvales; Malvaceae
Description: hsa-miR-30
Source: RNAcentral